AGCUGAGUGGUGGUCACACCCGUUCCCAUGCCGAACACGGAAGUUAAGCUCUUCAGCGCCGAUGGUAGUCGGGGGUUUCCCCCUGUGAGAGUAGGA
RNAcentral lists this ribosomal RNA (96 nucleotides) under Bacillus amyloliquefaciens. The record is from RNAcentral. Lineage: Bacteria; Bacillati; Bacillota; Bacilli; Caryophanales; Bacillaceae.